RNAcentral lists this long non-coding RNA (1408 nucleotides) under Chinchilla lanigera (long-tailed chinchilla). Its description in RNAcentral is "lncRNA (ENSCLAG00000022268.1)". The record is from RNAcentral. Lineage: Eukaryota; Metazoa; Chordata; Mammalia; Rodentia; Chinchillidae.
ACAUUUCUGCCUUUGCACCCUCUUGGCACUCCCAUAGGGCUCAGCUGCUUGAGAAUUCCGAGUGCAUGGGCUGAGUAUGGGGCUGCUCCCGGCCUUGGCUGAUACCACCUGGCUCUGCCCGGGACUUUGAAAGAUGCAAUCCGGAAGAGGAAACAAUAUCUGUGUUGAGAGUAACUGCCCUUGGCCUGAAUUCGUCAAACAGGAUUUAUUGGGAGAAGGGGAGAGAAAGGAGGAGGGAGACAAACACACAGAAAGUAUAUUCUGUAAACACAAGUCAAGGGAACUCACAGACUGCUUGUGGGUGAAGAUGAGCAAGAGAAAUCGUGGAGGCAGCCUGCAGGGCUUCCCUGCGUCGGCUCUCGGCCAGGCAGCAGGCACACAGGAAGCGCUUGGCCUGGCUUUGCCAGGGGCAGGGGCAGCCUAAGGUGUGGAGACCCACAGCUACGCCCUCCCUGCACACUGACCAAGCCUGAGUCAGUGUCAGGGCUCAGAAAGGCUUCACCAAUAAAAGUAGCUGGAGGAAAGUGACAGCUUCAGCUCCUCCUGCUGUGUGCAGUGUGGGUGAUCACCUUUCCACGCCAGUCCCGGGAGGCUCUUCAAAGACCCUUCUGGAACGCCAAACCCAAAACGAAGGCUCAUCACCCUUCCCAGAGCUGGCGGUGUGGACCGAAGCUGGGGGAGCACAGUACUUGGAAACCAUUUCAGCUCCUUCUGUUUGCCUGAGCAGCUCCUUUUCAGAGGAACCAGGCUGGACUGAGAGUUGGAUCUCCUUCUGCAGAGGGCGUGAUAGAGGGGAGGUGUUGGGAGGACACGGAGCAGCGAAUUCUGCGGCCUGGUGGUGAAAUCUAGUGGCCCCCACGGCUGGGUUCCACUGAUGUGUGAGAGUGGUGUUAACUGUGAGAAGUGAGAUGCAGAGCUAGCUGAUGGCUGGGUCCCUGCUCCCGGGGGUCCCCUGAACCCUCAGGGUGGCCCUGGGAAUGGUGCUCAGCCUCUGGCUCCUGGAGAGGAGAAGGAGUCCUCUGUAGCCUCCAGGAAUGCUGGUGCGGUGACUCUUGGAAUUUUCAGCCCAGGAAAACAAAAAAGAAUGAAAUUCUGGGGAAGAGUGUAAGACAAGAAAGAGUAUUUUGAGUGACUCUAAGGAAGUCAUGUUGUGAAAUUUCAGACAAAAGUAGGAAAAAAAUCCAAGUAGCCUGAAAAGGUUGGCAGAAACAAAUAGAGAAGAGGUUUGGAAUCUUCCACAGGAAGCCAAACGAGCUGCUCCAAGUGUAGGCCAGCUGGAGCACAGGCUGGGCUUAUCGGAGCCUGCCGCCCAGAAGGACAAAGGAAAACAUGUUGGGCUGCAGACACCAAGGGCACUGAAAGGGCCAGGGGAGAGAAAGAAAGGAGAACGCAGAGACAGGCUCUGAAG